Hydra vulgaris (swiftwater hydra) is the source of this 235-nucleotide non-coding RNA. The record is from RefSeq and is a predicted model, not a curated record. Lineage: Eukaryota; Metazoa; Cnidaria; Hydrozoa; Anthoathecata; Hydridae.
GUGUUUCUCUCAUGGUCAACUAUAUGCUGCAUUUUUAAGAACUACAGCAUUUAAUAGUUUGAUUUUCAAAAUUGAUAAACAUCAUAUUCAAGGUAUAGUAGUAUUGUUAAUGCUUUGGUACUUCGAAACAGGUUUUAUAGUUACAUUUUCGAUAUAUCUUUAACUGCAAUUUCAAAAUAGGUUACUAUAAAUAGAAUUACGUUAUGACGCAUUUAUAAGAUUUAUAAAAUAAAAA